GCCCCCAUCGUCUAGCGGCCAAGGACUCCGCCCUUUCAAGGCGGCAGCAGGGAUUCGAAUUCCCUUGGGGGCACCA
This 76-nucleotide transfer RNA is filed under the name Coriobacteriia bacterium. Its description in RNAcentral is "tRNA-Glu". It matches the Rfam family "tRNA". From Rfam's summary of the family: Transfer RNA (tRNA) molecules are approximately 80 nucleotides in length. Their secondary structure includes four short double-helical elements and three loops (D, anti-codon, and T loops). Further hydrogen bonds mediate the characteristic L-shaped molecular structure. tRNAs have two regions of fundamental functional importance: the anti-codon, which is responsible for specific mRNA codon recognition, and the 3' end, to which the tRNAs corresponding amino acid is attached (by aminoacyl-tRNA synthetases). tRNAs cope with the degeneracy of the genetic code in two manners: having more than one tRNA (with a specific anti-codon) for a particular amino acid; and 'wobble' base-pairing, i.e. permitting non-standard base-pairing at the 3rd anti-codon position. Lineage: Bacteria; Bacillati; Actinomycetota; Coriobacteriia. The record is from RNAcentral.